Cyprinus carpio carpio is the source of this 504-nucleotide long non-coding RNA. NCBI's taxonomy places the organism in Eukaryota, Metazoa, Chordata, Actinopteri, Cypriniformes, Cyprinidae. The record is from Ensembl.
CCUGCUUGUGUGAGGAGGAGGCGGUGUUCUCAGCUUCUUCUGAAGAGAGGGAAAGACGGGUUUAAGAUGUUGAAAGCCAGAGACAUAGGAGAGCAUCAUUCUUUUGAGAUUUAUAACUCAAACCAACUUUGGAGUUGUCUGAUUUGGAGAGUCAUCAUUCUUGGUCUUCCCUCUUAAAGGAAUAGUUCACACAAAAAAAUAAUUUACUUGCCCUCAUGUCAUUCCAAACCUAUAAGACUUUUGUCUGUCUUUACAACACAAAUUAAUAUAUUUUUAAUUUUCUCAUAAUGUUUUGUUAAUCCAUUGAGAGUCUAGAUAAUCAGUAUUUUCAAGCCUCAUAAAUACAGAGUUAUUGUAGAAGUAAUCCAUUCCGAUAUUUAUUUAUAAUUAAAUAGUAAAUUAUAUGAUAGCGAACAUGUAUGUUCAAAAGAAAAUAUUGCUCUCCCAGACUAGCAAUGGAGGACAAAAAUUAAGAGAAUAUUAAAUAUAUUUAUUUGUGUUCCA